AUAAAAACAACUGUCCAUAGGAUACUUCUCAAUAUCUGAGUGAUUCAUUCUUAAGUAACACCAACAUGGGACACUGAUAACUUGGUUCUGGCUGCACUGUACUUUUCCAGUCCUUUCUCCAAAGUGCCUUGAAGAAAUUAAAGCAGCAUAUUUUUCCAGCCAUGAUCUAGCUGCAGAUCUUACUUCCCUUACACAAAUGUUUAGAAAAAUAAUUCACCAGAUAGCCAGACUGGUGGGUAGGAAGAAUGUCUUGAACUCUACAGGAGCCUAGCCCUGCUAAUGUAAUGGAAGCUACAGAGCAUAGUGCUUUAGAUGUGGGCCUUGGAAUUAGACAAGUUGGAUUGAAAUCUUAAUUUUACCAGUUACUUAUCUAUGUGUCCUUGGGCAUGUUAUUAAACCUUUCUGUGUCUCUGUUUUGUUAAUAGUAAUGGAUUGUAAAAGAGUUAUUAUGAGUGUUAAAUCAAUUAAUACACAGAAAAAGCAUAGACAAGUAUCUGGCACAUAGGAUCUGGCUCAAUAAACUUUCACUAUAUUAUUACAUAGGGUAUACAAUAUCUCAUUCUGCAACACUUUCACUUGGAAUAUCUCAUCAAUUUAAGCCAUUCAGAAGAAUAAUAUUUAAGUCCUUAUUACUUCUAUUAUUCUGCAUAACUAAAAGUGACUAUUGGAAUGGUCUCUCUGAACAAAGGGGAUCUCCCAAAGACAAAUUCCAAUCUCUAUCCCCAGAAGGCAAACACACACACACACACACACACACACACACACACACACACACACACGCUCAAACUGCUGGUAAGCCUCCCAAUAACAUUUUCCUAAUUCAAAUAGACACACAGUGGUUAAAUAAAUAAACCAGGUCUUCACAACCACAAUUUCAAAUAUCAUCUGUCUCUCUAGUACUGAUAAAGUUCUAUUGUUAGAUUUCUUUUUUUAUAUACUUCCCAACUGUCACCAUCCUUCAACACAACCAAGAAUCAAAUAAAACAAAUAAAUACAUGUUCCA
Molecule: long non-coding RNA, 1003 nt
Filed under: Ursus maritimus (polar bear)
Lineage: Eukaryota; Metazoa; Chordata; Mammalia; Carnivora; Ursidae
Description: lncRNA (ENSUMAG00000020409.1)
Source: RNAcentral